AUAUCAGUCAUGCAUAGCAUAUCAAUAAGCGGAGGAAAAGAAACUAACAAGGAUUCCCUUAGUAACGGCGAGUGAAGCGGGAAGAGCUCAAAUUUGAAAUCUUCAAGGUUUUACCUUGACGAAUUGUAGUUUAAAGAAGUGUUUUCUGUUGAAGUUUUGGUAAAAGUUCUUUGGAAUAGGACAUCAUAGAGGGUGAGAAUCCCGUAUUUGACCAUUAUUUUCAGCUGUGUGAUACACUUUCAAAGAGUCGGAUCGUUUGGGAAUGCAGUCCAAAAUGGGUGGUAAAUUUCAUCUAAAGCUAAAUAUUGGCGAGAGACCGAUAGCGAACAAGUACCGUGAGGGAAAGAUGAAAAGAACUUUGAAAAGAGAGUUAAACAGUACGGGAAAUUGUCAAAAGGGAAGCGUUUGACACCAGUGUUGUUUUCUCGAAAAUCAAUUAAAAAAGUUGGAUUUUGUGUUGUAUUGACCUUAACAGCUUUCUGCACUCUUUUCCUGCUUUUUUUAAUGCACUUUUCGUUUAACAAGUCAACAUCAGUUUCUUUUGUUGUAAAAGGGUCAUUGGAAGGUGGCUUUCUUUUCGGAGAAAGUGUUUAUAGCCUUUGAUCUCUGCAAUCGGAGAGACUGAGGUCUGCAGCGUAGAUCCUUCAGGGUUAGAUACAUUUGUGCUAAGUUAUAACUUUUCAUAGACAACUUGUUGACUAUGUUUUAGUCAUGUAGCUUACUCGCUUAUGCUAUUUUACCUACGCUUAGGAUGUUGAAGAUGUAGCACAUCAUACACGCAUGACACACUGCAUAUCAAUAAGCGGAGGAAAAGCCAACUACCUACGCUUAGGAUGUUGAACUCUAUCACACACA
RNAcentral lists this ribosomal RNA (855 nucleotides) under uncultured Neocallimastigales. RNAcentral describes it as "partial large subunit ribosomal RNA". It matches the Rfam family "Eukaryotic large subunit ribosomal RNA", at positions 22 to 615 of the family's 3401-position model. Lineage: Eukaryota; Fungi; Neocallimastigomycota; Neocallimastigomycetes; Neocallimastigales. The record is from RNAcentral.